Molecule: long non-coding RNA, 200 nt
Filed under: Chinchilla lanigera (long-tailed chinchilla)
Lineage: Eukaryota; Metazoa; Chordata; Mammalia; Rodentia; Chinchillidae
Description: lncRNA (ENSCLAG00000028271.1)
Source: RNAcentral
GCCUGGGCUGCUGGGUGGGGGUGGGGACCGGGACUUUGCCCUUUGUCUCUCCAGAGCCACCGGGAAACCCGAGCCCUCGGCGAGCAGGCGGCCGGGCUGGGCUCCUCCAGCGAAUCCAGACCGAGCUCCGCGCCGGCCGCGAAAGAACAGAAGGUAAAACAUCCAGCCACCCCUCCCAAGCUCCGACUGCCCUAGGUUGA